Molecule: ribosomal RNA, 130 nt
Filed under: Heterocephalus glaber (naked mole-rat)
Lineage: Eukaryota; Metazoa; Chordata; Mammalia; Rodentia; Bathyergidae
Source: RNAcentral
GUCUAUGGCCAUACCACCCUGAACACGUUGGAUCUCAUCUGACCUUGGAAGCUAAGCAGGGUCUGGCCUGGUAAGUACUUGGAUGGGAGAAAGGAAGGAACCUCUAUAGGAACCUUGGCAACUUCAGGAU